UACGAAGGGUGCAAACGUUGCUCGGAAUCAUUGGGCGUAAAGCGCACGUAGGCGGCUUCGCAAGUCGGAUGUGAAAUCCCAUGGCUCAACCAUGGACGUGCAUUCGAAACUGCGAAGCUUGAGUAUGGAAGAGGGUCGCGGAAUUCCCGGUGUAGAGGUGAAAUUCGUAGAUAUCUGGAGGAACACCGGUGGCGAAGGCGGCGUUCUGGACUGCAACUGACACUGAGAAACGAAAGCCAGGGGAGCAAACGGG
RNAcentral lists this ribosomal RNA (253 nucleotides) under uncultured bacterium. RNAcentral describes it as "partial 16S ribosomal RNA". It matches the Rfam family "Bacterial small subunit ribosomal RNA", at positions 524 to 776 of the family's 1533-position model. The record is from RNAcentral.